Long non-coding RNA from Labeo rohita (rohu), 323 nucleotides. RefSeq lists it as uncharacterized. The transcript is spliced from 3 exons. Lineage: Eukaryota; Metazoa; Chordata; Actinopteri; Cypriniformes; Cyprinidae. The record is from RefSeq and is a predicted model, not a curated record.
UCCAACCUGCAUGUUACUCUGUAGUUCAGUUUCAUUCAUUUCAUUUUUAUCAUUAUCCAUUUCUUUUAGAGUUUUCCUGUGAAGAAAUCCUAAAUGAGGGUUGAGAUGAAGGAAACCAAGUGAUGGGCAGUUCAAGAUUGCUGUCGUUUGAGAAGUUAAUGAACAAAUCAUCUUUCCUGUUGCGGUUGUGAGCUACAAAAUACCCAGAGGAGGCGGCACUUACUCUGGAGUUCAUACAGAAAAUUUUCCUGUGAAGAAAUCCUGAACGUGGUUUAAGAUGAAGGCAACCAAGUGGCUGUGCAUUCCUCCAAGACUCUUGCAUG